UACUGAGGGUGCAAGCGUUAAUCGGAAUUACUGGGCGUAAAGCGCGCGUAGGCGGUUUACUAAGUCAGAUGUGAAAGCCCUGGGCUUAACCUGGGAACUGCAUUUGAUACUGGUAGACUAGAGUUUGGUAGAGGGUGACGGAAUUCCAGGUGUAGCGGUGAAAUGCGUAGAUAUCUGGAGGAACAUCAGUGGCGAAGGCGGUUGCCUGGACCAAAACUGACGCUGAGGUGCGAAAGCGUGGGGAGCAAACAGG
RNAcentral lists this ribosomal RNA (253 nucleotides) under uncultured bacterium. RNAcentral describes it as "partial 16S ribosomal RNA". It matches the Rfam family "Bacterial small subunit ribosomal RNA", at positions 524 to 776 of the family's 1533-position model. The record is from RNAcentral.